GAAUGUGUUCUACUGGUUUCAAAACCACAAAGCAAGAGAACGACAAAAACGCCGUCGUGAAGUAGAGACUAGUUGUAAAGUACGAAAGCAUGAUACUGCUGGAAACCUGGAUAUGAAGGAAUCAGCUGGCGGUAUAAUAUUAUACCACCCGAUAUUUUCUUCUUCUUCCUCUGCAGUACUAUUAAUUUUUAACAUCAUUAGCCAG
Molecule: unclassified non-coding RNA, 205 nt
Filed under: Hevea brasiliensis (rubber tree)
Lineage: Eukaryota; Viridiplantae; Streptophyta; Magnoliopsida; Malpighiales; Euphorbiaceae
Source: RNAcentral